UACGUAGGGGGCUAGCGUUGUCCGGAAUCAUUGGGCGUAAAGAGCGUGUAGGCGGCCAGGUAGGUCUGGUGUGAAAACUCGAGGCUCAACCUCGAGAGGUCAUCGGAAACCAUCUGGCUAGAGUCCGGAAGAGGAGAGUGGAAUUCCCGGUGUAGCGGUGAAAUGCGCAGAUAUCGGGAAGAACACCUAUGGCGAAGGCAGCUCUCUGGGACGGUACUGACGCUGAGACGCGAAAGCGUGGGGAGCGAACAGG
Molecule: ribosomal RNA, 253 nt
Filed under: uncultured bacterium
Lineage: Bacteria
Description: partial 16S ribosomal RNA
Rfam family: Bacterial small subunit ribosomal RNA
Source: RNAcentral